RNAcentral lists this ribosomal RNA (512 nucleotides) under uncultured bacterium. RNAcentral's name for it is "partial 16S ribosomal RNA". It matches the Rfam family "Bacterial small subunit ribosomal RNA", at positions 28 to 523 of the family's 1533-position model. The record is from RNAcentral.
GACGAACGCUGGCGGCGUGCCUAAUACAUGCAAGUCGAGCGGACAGAAGGGAGCUUGCUCCCGGACGUUAGCGGCGGACGGGUGAGUAACACGUAGGUAACCUGCCCCUUAGACUGGGAUAACUCCGGGAAACCGGAGCUAAUACGGGAUAAUAAAGAGAAUCACCUGAUUCUCUUUUGAAAGACGGUUUCGGCUGUCACUAAGGGAUGGGCCUGCGGCGCAUUAGCUAGUUGGUAAGGUAACGGCUUACCAAGGCGACGAUGCGUAGCCGACCUGAGAGGGUGAUCGGCCACACUGGGACUGAGACACGGCCCAGACUCCUACGGGAGGCAGCAGUAGGGAAUCUUCCGCAAUGGACAAAAGUCUGACGGAGCAACGCCGCGUGAGUGAGGAGGGCCUUCGGGUCGUAAAGCUCUGUUGUGAGGGAAGAACAAGUACCGGAGUAACUGACGGUACCUUGACGGUAUCUCACCAGAAAGCCACGGCUAACUACGUGCCAGCCGCCGCGGUAA